CAUCAGGCCACCGACCUGCUGGAGCAC
This 27-nucleotide unclassified non-coding RNA is filed under the name Mus musculus (house mouse). Its description in RNAcentral is "oocyte_clustered_small_RNA13206". Lineage: Eukaryota; Metazoa; Chordata; Mammalia; Rodentia; Muridae. The record is from RNAcentral.